GAUGAACGCUGGCGGCGUGCUUAACACAUGCAAGUCGAACGAAGCAUUUGCGACAGAUUUUUUCGGAAUGAAGUUGCUUAUGACUGAGUGGCGGACGGGUGAGUAACGCGUGGGUAACCUGCCUUGUACUGGGGGGUAGCAGCUGGAAACGGCUGGUAAUACCGCAUAAGCGCACAAUGUUGCAUGACAUGGUGUGAAAAACUCCGGUGGUAUAAGAUGGACCCGCGUCUGAUUAGCUAGUUGGUGAGAUAACAGCCCACCAAGGCGACGAUCAGUAGCCGACCUGAGAGGGUGACCGGCCACAUUGGGACUGAGACACGGCCCAGACUCCUACGGGAGGCAGCAGUGGGGAAUAUUGCACAAUGGAGGAAACUCUGAUGCAGCGGCGCCGCGUGAGUGAAGAAGUAAUUCGUUAUGUAAAGCUCUAUCAGCAGGGAAGAUAGUGACGGUACCUGACUAAGAAGCUCCGGCUAAAUACGUG
Molecule: ribosomal RNA, 481 nt
Filed under: uncultured bacterium
Lineage: Bacteria
Description: partial 16S ribosomal RNA
Rfam family: Bacterial small subunit ribosomal RNA
Source: RNAcentral